GCGUCGGUGGCGCAACGGUUUAGCACAUGCGCUCGGAACGGAUGGGAUCUGGGUUCAAAUCCCGGCUGACGCA
Molecule: non-coding RNA, 73 nt
Organism: Parelaphostrongylus tenuis
Lineage: Eukaryota; Metazoa; Nematoda; Chromadorea; Rhabditida; Metastrongylidae
Source: the annotation of a GenBank genome assembly